RNAcentral lists this ribosomal RNA (196 nucleotides) under uncultured Bacillota bacterium. RNAcentral describes it as "uncultured Firmicutes bacterium partial 16S ribosomal RNA". It matches the Rfam family "Bacterial small subunit ribosomal RNA", at positions 8 to 184 of the family's 1533-position model. The record is from RNAcentral. Lineage: Bacteria; Bacillati; Bacillota.
AGAGUUUGAUCCUGGCUCAGAACGAACGCUGGCGGCGUGYCUAACACAUGCAAGUCGAACGAGAAUCYGUGAGCUUGCAUUCCCGUGAGAGGGGAGCGGAGACUCGACUUAGUGGCACCGUUCGAUCCAUCUAGCCCUCUCGUGCGCGWGGCGAUAACUGUCCGAAAGGACUAGCUAAUACCCAGAUACAUGYUGA